UGGGGGAUAUUGCACAAUGGGGGAAACCCUGAUGCAGCGACGCCGCGUGAGUGAAGAAGGUUUUCGGAUUGUAAACCUCUGUCGCAAGGGACGAAACAAAUGACGGUACCUUGUGAGGAAGCCCCGGCUAACUACGUGCCAGCAGCCGCGGUAAUACGUAGGGGGCGAGCGUUGUCCGGAAUUACUGGGCGUAAAGGGUGCGUAGGCGGUUGCUUAAGUUGGAUGUGAAAUACCCGGGCUUAACUUGGGGGGUGCAUUCAAAACUGGGCAACUAGAGUUCAGGAGAGGGAAGCGGAAUUCCUAGUGUAGCGGUGAAAUGCGUAGAUAUUAGGAGGAACACCAGUGGCGAAGGCGGCUUUCUGGACUGACACUGACGCUGAGGCACGAAAGCGUGGGGAGCAAACA
Molecule: ribosomal RNA, 405 nt
Filed under: uncultured prokaryote
Description: bacterial SSU rRNA
Rfam family: Bacterial small subunit ribosomal RNA
Source: RNAcentral